GAUGAAGAACGUAGCGAAGUGCGAUAAGUAAUGUGAAUUGCAGAAUUCCGUGAAUCAUCGAAUCUUUGAACGCAAAUUGCACUUUCUGGUAUUCCGGAGAGUAUGCCUGUUUGAGGGUCAGUGUAAUAAAAAUAAAUCGUGGUUACCACUUUUCGUGGUGACGCUUCGGAAUUGAGUCGUCUUACCUUCGGUUAAGUGACUUAAAAUUUUUUCAUACGAUUUCGAAACGUAUUUAAUGUAUUAUGUAUGUUCACGAAUAUCGAAUGUUUAUUAGGUGCGGUCAUUUUCAUGAAUUCGCGUCUAUAAUUUUUUUUUUUUUGACCUCAAAUCAGGUAAGAAUACCUGCUGAACUUAAGCAUAUCAAUAAGCGGAGGA
RNAcentral lists this unclassified non-coding RNA (375 nucleotides) under soil metagenome. RNAcentral describes it as "partial contains 5.8S ribosomal RNA, internal transcribed spacer 2, and large subunit ribosomal RNA". The stretch from base 1 to 120 matches the Rfam family "5.8S ribosomal RNA", at positions 35 to 154 of the family's 154-position model. The record is from RNAcentral.